Molecule: long non-coding RNA, 1956 nt
Organism: Lolium perenne
Lineage: Eukaryota; Viridiplantae; Streptophyta; Magnoliopsida; Poales; Poaceae
Source: RefSeq, a predicted model, not a curated record
AGUGAACUUUGUUGGAGCUCCUGUGUGGCUUCUUGUUGUCUUUGAUGCAAACUGCUCCUGGUUAUGUGAACUACUUCUCAGCCUUCCGGACCCAUGUGCCGCUUCCACAAGUGCACACUUCCCUUUGUUCUUCUAUUGUCAGCGACAGUAGGCGAGAACCAAAGCUCACUUCUCAUCCGCAGGUGGUUCACUCGAUUAUUUGCCGUUGUUUCUUGAUUAGGCGAAAUUCAACUUUGUUGUUUUUCCCGUAACCGAGAGAAAUGAACUACAACUUCCAAUGGUCUUAGUUCUUGUCGGUGAAAAGAAGUGAUAAAUUAUUAAAAGGGAGUACAUGACAAUCUGGAUGGUAGUUAGAUACAAGUCUCUUUGUAGUGGCACAAUACGAGAGUAAGUUCUCUUAUAUUCUUAUGCAUAUUCUGAAUUUUAUGCAGGACCAAACUUUAGAGAAUAUGAUCUGCACAAAAGCUAUUUUCUUGUUUAUCAAUUUAUUUGUACUGCAUGUUAUUCAGUGCAUUUAGAAUCCUCUUAGCUUGAGAAGACAAACGGUGCUUGUUUCAGCAAAUGCAAAAGCUCCUACGUUACUCCGCAAUGUUAGUAAUUGUAUUUCAGUACACACAAGACUUAACACAUGAUUUUGUUAACCAAUUUGGGUUUCUGAUGAGUGGUUUUGUGUGUCAUGGUUUUUAAUGUCAGGUGACUUUACUGUUUUAGUUGAUAAUAACGCAUAAAUAUAAAUAUCCAUAUUAACAAGUUUUUUCUGCAUCAUAUUUAUUCCCUUUGCUCGAAACAUCAUUGAAACAUUUUGAUACUGUCACAGCUCUACCUACAUGUUCCAUUAUUAUGUUCCGAGACAUGUUUGCUUACAAUGAUGCAGCAUCGGUAAAAUACAAGUAACCAAGUAAUUAUGUUUAUCUAAUACUUUCAAAUAAAUAGUAUCAAGUAAUCACUAAAAAUAUUAACUGUACAUGCAAAGAAGAUAACACAUUCUUUUAAUUAUUACGUAUUAAUUAUCCAAUAAUACUUUGUAGGAGUCGUAAGUGAUUAUGAAGACUUUAUGGUAAACAAAAACUCAACAACUUCUUUUUGCGGGUAUGAUUAUUCAUUCUAGGGUCGUUAUCACUUUGUUAAAAAAUUAUAUGGUAAGAGAACAAACAAUCUGCAUGAUCGUACUACAAUUACAUUUAUAUGUACGUGAUUGGGUCUACGAGGAAUGGAUGUCUCAAGUUAGUGAUUCUUUCUUCUUGCUGGCUUUACCCCCAAAUCUCGAGCAUUUCUUUUCGCCGAGAAAUCAGAGACUACCAUGUUCUUGGGUCCUAUGCAGAAGGAGGGUUAGCUUAUAGAUACUUUAUGUCGAAGUGUUCGUAUUUGUGUGCGGCUCAGUCAAACUACAAUGCGGCCACUGUAACGGCUGGUGCUACCAAAUCAAGACCGCGCCGCCUGUGCUAGGAGUUCAGAUCUUGCUUUUAUAUUGUUUAAAAGCAGGUAACGUUUUCUUUGUGCAUGUGGUAGGCUGUGAGUUGAUCAAUGGCUUCGGGUCACCUGUCAUUAAGCAGAAUCUUACUGAUCCAGCAGCUUCAGAAAAGGCAGCUUAAGAGCACGCCCUUGAGCCGGUUGACGGAUCCCGCCUCCCGAGGAUUCUAUUUUCCUGUUUUGUUGAGCCGUAUUAAAAUCUGUUACUCUCAUAUAAAAAAAUCUGUUUGACUCUGUCGAGGUGACAACCUCUAUUUCGUUGAGAGGUCUGCACCCUAUGUGGAAGCACCCUAUGUGGAACAACAGGUGCUAUGGCUCCACCAGUGUGUCGAAUGCAGUUUUGUGCCUCGGUUGGUAUUAUUCAAUCGGUUGGCAGAAGAGUUGUUGAUGUUUUGGAUUGGGAAUUCGAGCCUUUUGUUCUAGGAACUUUGUACUCUUCUAUUGAUUCACUUAUUUAAAUUCUACCGUCAAACUUUUUAUACCUAA